GGUGACUAAGAAGAAACUUGGCGGCAGCUGGUUGAUACGGCGGAGGUGGCCGAUGAUAUAGUAGAUACGGUCCAGGUGAUAAUGGUGUCGUGAUUGGUGGUGGUUGUGGGUUUGGGUCCGACGGUGAUUUGGGUCCGGUGGGUUGGAAUGGAGGAAACAGAGGCAGAGGUCAAGGAUAUGGGUGAGGUGAUGGUGGUAGUGGUGAAUACACG
This 212-nucleotide long non-coding RNA is filed under the name Brassica napus (rape). RNAcentral describes it as "long non-coding RNA (BNAP_LNC002432)". The record is from RNAcentral. Lineage: Eukaryota; Viridiplantae; Streptophyta; Magnoliopsida; Brassicales; Brassicaceae.